GAGGGUAUAACUCAGUGGUAGAGUGCCUGCUUAGUAUGCACCAGGUCCUGGGUUCAAUUCCCAGUACCUCCA
RNAcentral lists this transfer RNA (72 nucleotides) under Camelus bactrianus (Bactrian camel). It matches the Rfam family "tRNA". Rfam says of the family: Transfer RNA (tRNA) molecules are approximately 80 nucleotides in length. RNAcentral also lists the same sequence under 2 other names. Lineage: Eukaryota; Metazoa; Chordata; Mammalia; Artiodactyla; Camelidae. The record is from Rfam by way of RNAcentral.